GCGGGCGUAGCUCAAUGGUAGGGCGGAAGCCUUCCAAGCUUUCUACGCGGGUUCGAUUCCUGUCGCCCACUCCA
RNAcentral lists this transfer RNA (74 nucleotides) under Janthinobacterium violaceinigrum. Its description in RNAcentral is "Janthinobacterium sp. FT13W tRNA-Gly". It matches the Rfam family "tRNA". From Rfam's summary of the family: Transfer RNA (tRNA) molecules are approximately 80 nucleotides in length. Their secondary structure includes four short double-helical elements and three loops (D, anti-codon, and T loops). The record is from RNAcentral. Lineage: Bacteria; Pseudomonadati; Pseudomonadota; Betaproteobacteria; Burkholderiales; Oxalobacteraceae.